GGGUGUGAGGCAUGUGAGAACUGAGACAUAGAACAGCAGCUGACCAUCUCCUAUUCUGUGCCCACUGUGAAGCAAGAAGUUAUUGAGUGGAGGUAUGCAGAAUCAUGAAUCAUGAUUCAUAGAAUCAUCUAUAUGAAUCAUUUCUUUCUCUCCUUCCCGUUGCUGAAGAUAAUAGAUGAAAUCCUGCAAAUUGAAUGGAAAUGCAAAGAAUGGAACUUGC
Molecule: long non-coding RNA, 220 nt
Filed under: Homo sapiens (human)
Lineage: Eukaryota; Metazoa; Chordata; Mammalia; Primates; Hominidae
Description: HSALNT0065608
Source: RNAcentral